UAUAAUUGAGAUAAGUGAGUUAUCAUCAACAUUAGAUGUAUGUAAACUUAUUCUAAUUGCUAACUGCAUAUUCCUUGCAAUUUCAUUAAAAAAACUUUUCGUGAAACACUCAAUAAAGUGCACAGGUGAAUCAAAUAAAACAAUUAUAAAAUCUGCAUGAUUAUCUAAAAAAUGUAAUUAUAAGUUGAAUGCUUCUUUUCGUAACUUCAAGGUUGUAAAAGCUUAUAAUAGAAUGAAGUGCUUCCGCGUGUCAUCAAAAGUGAGUUUGAAUCAUCAUUCUUAAAGAGAGGGACUUGUUUGUUAUUAUUAGUAACAUUCUAUUUAUAGGUGCCUCGUCCAAUAUUUUGUUGGGAAGAAUAUACAUUUUCAUCGAGUCUUUGUCAGGGUUCUUAAAAAAUCCAAACAAAAAAUCUCUGUUCUUCAAAAGUCAAUGGUAUAAGGGAGAUAAUUUGAAUUGACAUCAGAAAAAAUUACACUGAAAUUUAUAAAGACAAUACAUGUAUCCCCAAAUGAUAUUGCAAGAAAAUUACUCUAAAUCAGGAGUAAAAAAAUAUUACGUUUUUAAAAAUUGGUUGAUAUGAAAAUUCAUACUGUUAGGUGAAAGAGCUUGAUUCAGGUGACUACUUUUCAUUUACCAAUCAGACAUUUUGAAUCCAGUAGAAUUGACAACUUGCAAGAAUUCAGUUAGCAUAUGUAUGUUUUAUGUUGUUAAUAUCAUAAUCACACUAUUAUAUAAAAUGUGCUAAAUUUCUAUUAAAUAUCCUAAUUUCAAACAUGUUAUAAAGUAUGCAAAUUUAAAAAACAUAUAUAAUACUGUGAUGUAUAUAAGAUAAAUGGUUACAGAUAAGAAUUAUUAUAAUAAACAAAAUCAGAACUAUUGGUGGCACAAGUAUUUUUUUUUUUUAAAUAUUCCUAGGAGUAAGAUUUCUAUUUGGUCUUGGAGUAAGACUGACCAUGACUCUUUUCACAAAAGAAUACGUAAAGAAUGAAAUUUUCAGUACAUGUAUAACAUUUAAUUGCUUUUAGUAAUUGGUAUAUUUCAAUUUUUAGUAAUUUGAAGUUUCAUAGUUUCAUGACCCUCAAAUGAAGUAUUAUGCACGUCUUAGUCAUUAAUCAGUGUACUAUUGAUACAAAUGUACAAAAAUUCUUCAAAUAUCGCUGUUGGGCUCUCUGAAGACACAUUACAGGAAAAAUAUUGAGCAAUGCUUAAUGUAUAAAUUUUUCAAUUAUUAAAAUUAUCCAACACCAUACAAUCUGAUCAUUUUACAAAAGCUCACUACCAAAAUUUACCGUGUUUAGAGCAAUAUUAUCAUAAUCAUAUACUUUUUCAGUAAAAAAUUAGGAUAAUUAUACAUGUUCUAGAAUCAAUCAAUGUUGAAAAUUUUAACAGAUAUCUAUCGUAUGGAUGAAUUAUCAGAGAGACAAAGAUUACCUGAUUUUUCAUUUUGGUUAGAAUAAUAGCAAAUUACAGAGUUAUCUCCCCUUUUUGAAUAAUUUCUAAUGCAUUUCAACCAAAAUUCGAUUUUUAAAUACAAGACAAUGAAAAGAAAAGAUAUGUUAUAUUCAUGCACCAUUUUAUAAUUUGAACUUAAAUUAAUGUAAACUUGAGUAGGUUUUUAUUUGUCAUGGUUUUCACCACUGCAUGAUUGGCACUUAAUAAACAAUUUUUUUUUAUAGGUUCAGAUUUUUAGGCAAAUAGGUUACAGAAAUUACUUAUGCCAAGAUUAAGAAAUACUGAUUUACAUGUUGUCUGAUUAAGGAUAAAAUAAAAUUAGGCGGCUUUAUCAUUAAAAUGUAUGUGUGAGGGUGGAAAGCGAGGUCAAAAAUCCUCUUCAACCAACAUACUUUACUUUUUUGGAGUAAAUAGACAUGCCACCAUGAAUUACCAAUAAUAUAACUUUGUACCAUACCACAUUCAUUUUAAUGGGAAAGUUCUAAUUUUAAACGUAACAAAAGAAUGUCAUCAAUUUCAUAAUUAGACUCAUUUUAAAUAUAUUAUGUCUCAAAAAUAAGCACAAUCACAUACACACAAAAUAUUUCAAAGCUUCCCCACAUAUGUACAAUAAUCUCUAACAACAUGUUUUUAUAAAGAUUUCCAUACUGUAAAUUCAGAAAUUAUUGCAUGCAUUUAUUAUUGUGAUUUUGUAAUUUUUGAA
This 2156-nucleotide long non-coding RNA is filed under the name Mytilus galloprovincialis (Mediterranean mussel). Lineage: Eukaryota; Metazoa; Mollusca; Bivalvia; Mytilida; Mytilidae. The record is from RNAcentral.